GGGGGUGUUUUUGGAUUCGACACUCAGUUUUAGGCGGUAUAAGCACGUCGUAGGCUCGGCUACGUUAUCAACGGAAACUUAAAAUUAAAUGCAAAAAACAAUCAAAAGAGCUCCAACAUGGAGUUCGCUCUUGCUGCGUAACUAACUAGUCAGCACGUCGCCCCAAGGUUUUCUGUUCCCUUGGCAAGCGGCGUCAGAAAAACAGACAACGCGACUUGAUUGCUCAGUAGAGUCGUUGUCAUCACGAGCUUAUCAAACGGCGGUUUGCAAGUGAACCAAAGGGCGAAACAUUCAAUCAUUUGCUAAACGUGUAGAAAGUGCCGAAGACGGCUGUUUGGACCGGGGUUCAAAUCCCCGCACUUCCACCA
This 368-nucleotide transfer-messenger RNA is filed under the name Christensenellales. RNAcentral describes it as "CAG-475 sp900548005 Standard tmRNA". It matches the Rfam family "transfer-messenger RNA". Rfam says of the family: Bacterial tmRNA, also known as 10Sa RNA or SsrA, is named for its dual tRNA and mRNA-like properties. Its role is to liberate the mRNA from a stalled ribosome. RNAcentral also lists the same sequence under 1 other name. The record is from RNAcentral. Lineage: Bacteria; Bacillati; Bacillota; Clostridia.